RNAcentral lists this ribosomal RNA (1221 nucleotides) under Bacillus cereus. Its description in RNAcentral is "partial 16S ribosomal RNA". It matches the Rfam family "Bacterial small subunit ribosomal RNA", at positions 35 to 1234 of the family's 1533-position model. The record is from RNAcentral. Lineage: Bacteria; Bacillati; Bacillota; Bacilli; Caryophanales; Bacillaceae.
GCACGUGGGGUGUCUUAAUACUGCAGUCGAGCGAAUGGAUUGGAGCUUGCUCUUAUGAAAUUAGCGGCGGACAGUCUGAGUAACUCGUGGGUAACCUGCCCAUAAGACUGGGAUAACUCCGGGAAACCGGGGCUAAUACCGGAUAACAUUUUGAACCGCAUGGUUCGAAAUUGAAAGGCGGCUUCGGCUGUCACUUAUGGAUGGACCCGCGUCGCAUUAGCUAGUUGGUGAGGUAACGGCUCACCAAGGCAACGAUGCGUAGCCGACCUGAGAGGGUGAUCGGCCACACUGGGACUGAGACACGGCCCAGACUCCUACGGGAGGCAGCAGUAGGGAAUCUUCCGCAAUGGACGAAAGUCUGACGGAGCAACGCCGCGUGAGUGAUGAAGGCUUUCGGGUCGUAAAACUCUGUUGUUAGGGAAGAACAAGUGCUAGUUGAAUAAGCUGGCACCUUGACGGUACCUAACCAGAAAGCCACGGCUAACUACGUGCCAACUUCCGCGGUAAUACGUAGGUGGCAAGCGUUAUCCGGAAUUAUUGGGCGUAUAGCGCGCGCAGGUGGUUUCUUAAGUCUGAUGUGAAAGCCCACUGCUCAACCGUGGAGGGUCAUUGGAAACUGGGAGACUUGAGUGCAGAAGAGGAAAGUGGAAUUUCAUGUGUAGCGGUGAAAUGCAUAGAGAUAUGCAGGAACACCAGUGGCCAAUGCGACUUUCUGGUCUGUAACUGACACUGAGGCGCGAAAGCGUGUGGAGCAAACGUGAUUAGAUACCCUGGUAGUCCACGCCGUCAACGAUGAGUGCUAAGUGUUAGAGGGUUUCCGCCCUUUAGUGCUGAAGUUCACGCAUUAAGCACUCCGCCUGGUGAGUACGGCCGCAGGGCUGAAACUCAACAGGAACUGGACGGGCGCCCCGCACAAGUCAGUGAGCAUGUGGUCUUAAUUUCUCAGCAGCGACGAAGAACCUUGAGCAUGCUCUUGGACAUCCUCAUGACCACCCUAGAGAAAGGUGCGUCUCACUCCGGCAACAGAGUGACAGCGUAGCUGCAUGAUGCGUCAGCUCCGGUCCGUGAACUGAUGGGUAAGUCCCGCAACAGCCGCCAGCCAAUUGGAUCGUGAGUAGCCAUACAGUUCCAAUGCACUCAAAGGUUGACCGUCCGGUCAACCAGAGUAGUAUGACUCAUCACCUAGCCUUAUGACCUGCAUACCACCGUGCCUUACAAGAG